This 253-nucleotide ribosomal RNA is filed under the name uncultured bacterium. Its description in RNAcentral is "partial 16S ribosomal RNA". It matches the Rfam family "Bacterial small subunit ribosomal RNA", at positions 524 to 776 of the family's 1533-position model. The record is from RNAcentral.
UACGUAGGAUCCAAGCGUUAUCCGGAUUUAUUGGGUUUAAAGGGUGCGUAGGCGGAUUGAUAAGUUAGAGGUGAAAUGUCCGAGCUUAACUCGGGAACUGCCUCUAAUACUGUUGAUCUAGAGAGUAGAUGCGGUAGGCGGAAUGUAUGGUGUAGCGGUGAAAUGCUUAGAGAUCAUACAGAACACCGAUUGCGAAGGCAGCUUACCAAUCUAUAUCUGACGUUGAGGCUCGAAAGCGUGGGGAGCAAACAGG